GCCCAGGUGGUGAAAUUGGUAGACACGCCAUCUUGAGGGGGUGGUGCUCGAAAGGGCAUGCUGGUUCGAGUCCAGUCCUGGGCA
This 84-nucleotide transfer RNA is filed under the name Rhodothermales bacterium. Its description in RNAcentral is "tRNA-Leu". It matches the Rfam family "tRNA". From Rfam's summary of the family: Transfer RNA (tRNA) molecules are approximately 80 nucleotides in length. Their secondary structure includes four short double-helical elements and three loops (D, anti-codon, and T loops). The record is from RNAcentral. RNAcentral also lists the same sequence under 2 other names. Lineage: Bacteria; Pseudomonadati; Rhodothermota; Rhodothermia; Rhodothermales.